This 71-nucleotide transfer RNA is filed under the name Caudoviricetes sp. RNAcentral describes it as "tRNA-OTHER". It matches the Rfam family "tRNA". Rfam says of the family: Transfer RNA (tRNA) molecules are approximately 80 nucleotides in length. Their secondary structure includes four short double-helical elements and three loops (D, anti-codon, and T loops). The record is from RNAcentral. Lineage: Duplodnaviria; Heunggongvirae; Uroviricota; Caudoviricetes.
CGCGGAGUGGAGCAGUCAGGUAGCUCGCUUGGUUGCCAAGAGGUCGCUGGUUCAAAUCCGGCUUCCGCGUC